UUAGUUAUUGGUUGUACCCUAUGUUUUGUUGUGUGUAAAAGCUUCUCAUAAAGCCAUAAAGCCGCGUGUCUACUGACUCGUACAGUUUCUUCUUUUCAAGACACAAAAAAAUUCUAUGUAGAAAGCAACCGAGUGAAAGGGGCAUCUGCCCAAAAAAUUCCGGCGAACUAAAUGCUCUCCCUAUUCAACUUCUUUCUCCAAUCGAACGAGUCGUUGUGUCUCUCUAUUCCUCGUCGGUCAAGGCCUUAGGUGGUGAUUAGGUUUGCUGGUGGUCGUUUUCUUUACCAGAUGUUGUCUUGCUGUUCUUCUUGGCCUGAAGUCUGGUUGAUAUGUUUAAAUUUUGUAAUAAAAUUUUAUUGUUUGAAUUUGCUUAUCUUAUGAUUUGUUAAUAGGUGUGUUUACAUUCUCUCACAAAGUUUAGUUAUGGAGUUUUUGUAGAAGCUCAUCGGAAAAGAAGUCGAUAAAACAAUUCUCUCCGUUAAGGGGAUUCCUUUGUCGAUAGUGGAGGUGACAUCAUUGUGAUUUGAAGUUGUCUCAGUGGCAGGCUGCUCUAUUCGUAUCCUUUUGUCGUUCAUUGGGCGCGUGGAAAGCCCAGAAGAAAGAAGAUAGGAAGGGAAGGCUAUAAUCGAAGAGGUGUUGUAAGCAGCAGUGGACAGUGGUAGGGUGCUCAUGAUCCGAUAGGUUUUGAUGAUUUACUCGGACCAAAACACUAUCUAUGGUUUUGGAAAAAAACAAACUGAACCGGCCAGUACCAGAAAGACCAAAUAACCGAAUCAGGAGCGUUGUCGGCUACCAUUCAUUCACGUCAUAAUUUAACACUAAAAGGCUAGGUGAUGGGAUGGGUAAGGAUGUUCCCUUGACAUGCAAGUGUCGCAGGUUUGAAUCUAUCAUCUUCGCGUUUUAUUUUUUUGUAAAAAUAUUACACUUGACACCCUUGAGUUUUAAUUAUUAUUUUUUUUCAAUAUUUAACUCAAUUUACGUUACUACCUUCGUUGAACGUGACGAGUUCAUGGUUGAUAUGGCACUUAAUAGGGCAGCAUUAUGUCUUCUAAGGGCGAAUCCAUUGGCAGUUAUGAUCUCUGGGUUUGUGUUUUCUGCUGGUUGCAUGCUUAAGUAUGUUUCCCAAGUAUGUAUUCUCUCAACUGUUGUCUUCAACAGUAAGUCUCAUAAGGUGGCUAAAUAGGGGUCAUGUAAGUUGACUAAAAGGUUAAGGAGUUAUUUUUAGUGCAGCUUAGACCCUAAAAUCAUUAUGUGCUUAUUUUUUUAAAUAGUUGAUGCAGUGAUUACUUAUAAUAAUAUUCUACUUUUGAAUAAACUGAUGUACAUACUAUGCAUUAAAAAACCUUUUGCGCCACCGUUCAACACAACUACCACGGCGACGGUGAGAACUGUGAAGGAUGCUUCCCCUCAUGAAUUUGUCAAUGGUUACAACACUCACCUCUUGCGCUAUGGAAGGUAAAAUCCGUCGCAUUUUUUAAUGUUUUUUUCUUCUAAUUUUGAUUGACUUAGCAGGUUUAUUUUAAAUGCAUCAGUCUGGAAUCAAGCUUUGGAUAUGUUUUCUAAUAACCGUAAUAUCGUGUUGGUGAAAUCUAGAUUUAGUUGUCGUUUAUUUUUGUAAAAUUUCUUAGGUUAGUCAUUUAUCUUAUUUAUUUUGAAUGCGUUACUAAAUAAUGGUGAACGAGUGUUUUGUAUUCCUGAUUGUGUACUUUUGUGCUAUUUGUCAAAAAAACAUA
Long non-coding RNA from Helianthus annuus (common sunflower), 1733 nucleotides. RefSeq lists it as uncharacterized. The transcript has 3 exons. The record is from RefSeq and is a predicted model, not a curated record. NCBI's taxonomy places the organism in Eukaryota, Viridiplantae, Streptophyta, Magnoliopsida, Asterales, Asteraceae.